UGAGAUGAGCCUCUGUUUGGCUUUUAGGAAGAUGUUUUUCCAUUUUGUAAGAUUAUGCCGGGGAAGGUUUUCCGGUUUAUCCCGGAGGGCUUGUAGCUCAGUUGGUUAGAGCGCGCGCUUGAUAAGCGUGAGGUCGGAGGUUCAAGUCCUCCCAGGCCCACCAUUUGUGRGUGCUUGUAGAGUGCUUGUUAUGUGUGAACGUUGAGAGUGUGACGUUUUUCAAUUACGUUGAAGUUGUAGGAAUUCAGGUUCRUUUGUGAGUUUCAGUCAUUUAUUUUUAGGGGCCGUAGCUCA
Molecule: unclassified non-coding RNA, 294 nt
Filed under: uncultured Bartonella sp.
Lineage: Bacteria; Pseudomonadati; Pseudomonadota; Alphaproteobacteria; Hyphomicrobiales; Bartonellaceae
Description: partial 16S-23S ribosomal RNA intergenic spacer
Rfam family: tRNA (bases 87-160)
Source: RNAcentral